RNAcentral lists this microRNA precursor (117 nucleotides) under Arabidopsis thaliana x Arabidopsis arenosa. RNAcentral's name for it is "mir-166". It matches the Rfam family "mir-166 microRNA precursor family". Rfam says of the family: This family represents the plant microRNA (miRNA) precursor mir-166. The record is from RNAcentral. Lineage: Eukaryota; Viridiplantae; Streptophyta; Magnoliopsida; Brassicales; Brassicaceae.
GUUGAGAGGAAUGUUGUCUGGCUCGAGGUCAUGAAGAAGAGGAUCACUCGAAUUAAUUUGGAAGAACGAAUUAAGAAACCCUAAAUGAUUCUCGGACCAGGCUUCAUUCCCCCUAAC